This 496-nucleotide ribosomal RNA is filed under the name uncultured bacterium. RNAcentral describes it as "partial 16S ribosomal RNA". It matches the Rfam family "Bacterial small subunit ribosomal RNA", at positions 29 to 507 of the family's 1533-position model. The record is from RNAcentral.
AUGAACGCUGGCGGCGUGCCUAAUACAUGCAGGUCGAGCGCACGGACGAGAAGCUUGCUUCUCUGAUGUUAGCGGCGGACGGGUGAGUAACACGUGGAUAACCUACCUAUAAGACUGAGAUAACUUCGGGAAACCGGAGCUAAUACCGGAUAAUAUUUUGAACCGCAUGGUUCAAAAGUGAAAGACGGUCUUGCUGUCACUUAUAGAUGGAUCCGCGCUGCAUUAGCUAGUUGGUAAGGUAACGGCUUACCAAGGCAACGAUGCAUAGCCGACCUGAGAGGGUGAUCGGCCACACUGGAACUGAGACACGGUCCAGACUCCUACGGGAGGCAGCAGUAGGGAAUCUUCCGCAAUGGGCGAAAGCCUGACGGAGCAACGCCGCGUGAGUGAUGAAGGUCUUCGGAUCGUAAAACUCUGUUAUUAGGGAAGAACAUAUGUGUAAGUAACUGUGCACAUCUUGACGGUACCUAAUCAGAAAGCCACGGCUAACUACGUG